AAAAUGGGAUAAAUAGACCAAGUCUGUUCCUACGUUAAACCACUGCGAGCUGGACGUCUUUUGGAUACGCCAAGGCAAGCAGCAAGAUUUGUUAAUGUCCUUGGUUAUGAAAGAGCCCCUGUUAUCGGAGGAGGAGGUAAACAGGAGCAGUGGUGCACUUUGUUGGCCUUUCUCUGUAGAAACAAGGGUGAUUGUGAAGAUCAUGCUAACCUUCUGUGCAGCCUUCUUCUUGGAUAUGGAUUAGAAGCUUUUGUCUGUGUUGGGACUAAGGCAAAGGGAGUACCUCACGCGUGGGUUAUGACUUGUGGAACUGACGGAACCAUCACUUUUUGGGAGAGUUUAACAGGACACAGGUACAUCCACAAACCUAUCAAUCCUGAUGAGCCUCCGCUUGCUGAACAGCCCAAGCAUUGCACCCAUAUCGAACAAUUGGUUGUGUUUUCAAUCAUCAGAUGUUCCUGGGAAAUUGUCAGCCCUCGGAUGCAGUAGAAACCUGCAUAUUUGAUUUGAAUGAUGAAUCCAAGUGGAAACCCAUGAGUGAAGAAGCAAUUAAGUCUGUGUGUGCCCCUGGAGCCACCACAUCCCUCCCUCCUUUCCCACCCCUAUGCGCACCACUAUUGAUGCAUCUGUAACAAGUAAUGAAAUAGAAAUGCAGCUG
Molecule: non-coding RNA, 658 nt
Organism: Castor canadensis (American beaver)
Lineage: Eukaryota; Metazoa; Chordata; Mammalia; Rodentia; Castoridae
Source: RefSeq, a predicted model, not a curated record